This 428-nucleotide ribosomal RNA is filed under the name uncultured bacterium. RNAcentral describes it as "bacterial SSU rRNA". It matches the Rfam family "Bacterial small subunit ribosomal RNA", at positions 9 to 424 of the family's 1533-position model. The record is from RNAcentral.
GAGUUUGAUCGUGGCUCAGGAUGAACGCUGGCGGCGUGCCUAACACAUGCAAGUCGAACGAAGCACCUUUUGAGAUUCUUCGGAUGAUCGAUCGGUGACUGAGUGGCGGACGGGUGAGUAACGCGUGGGUAACCUGCCCUGUACAGGGGGAUAACAGCUGGAAACGGCUGCUAAUACCGCAUAAGCGCACGAGGAGACAUCUCCUUGUGUGAAAAACUCCGGUGGUACAGGAUGGGCCCGCGUCUGAUUAGCUGGUUGGCAGGGUAACGGCCACCAAGGCAACGAUCAGUAGCCGGUCUGAGAGGAUGAACGGCCACAUUGGAACUGAGACACGGUCCAAACUCCUACGGGAGCAGCAGUGGGAAUAUUGCACAAUGGGGGAAACCCUGAUGCAGCAACGCCGCGUGAGUGAAGAAGUAUUUCGGUAU